RNAcentral lists this ribosomal RNA (468 nucleotides) under uncultured bacterium. Its description in RNAcentral is "partial 16S ribosomal RNA". It matches the Rfam family "Bacterial small subunit ribosomal RNA", at positions 28 to 507 of the family's 1533-position model. The record is from RNAcentral.
GACGAACGCUGGCGGCGUGCUUAACACAUGCAAGUCGAACGGAAAGGCCCUGCUUUUGUGGGGUGCUCGAGUGGCGAACGGGUGAGUAACACGUGAGUAACCUGCCCUUGACUUUGGGAUAACUUCGGGAAACUGGGGCUAAUACCGGAUAGGAGCUCCUGCUGCAUGGUGGGGGUUGGAAAGUUUCGGCGGUUGGGGAUGGACUCGCGGCUUAUCAGCUUGUUGGUGGGGUAGUGGCUUACCAAGGCUUUGACGGGUAGCCGGCCUGAGAGGGUGACCGGCCACAUUGGGACUGAGAUACGGCCCAGACUCCUACGGGAGGCAGCAGUGGGGAAUACUGCACAAUGGGCGGAAGCCUGAUGCAGCAACGCCGCGUGCGGGAUGACGGCCUUCGGGUUGUAAACCGCUUUCGCCUGUGACGAAGCGUGAGUGACGGUAAUGGGUAAAGAAGCACCGGCUAACUACGUG